CAGUCGCCGCGGUAACACCGAGGGUGCGAGCGUUAAUCGGAUUUACUGGGCGUAAAGCGUGCGUAGGCGGCUUCUUAAGUCGGAUGUGAAAUCCCUGAGCUUAACUUAGGAAUUGCAUUCGAUACUGGGAAGCUAGAGUAUGGGAGAGGAUGGUAGAAUUCCAGGUGUAGCAGUGAAAUGCGUAGAGAUCUGGAGGAAUACCGAUGGCGAAGGCAGCCAUCUGGCCUAAUACUGACGCUGAGGUACGAAAGCAUGGGGAGCAAACAGGAUUAGAUACCCCGGUAGUCCCUGUCUCUUAUAC
RNAcentral lists this ribosomal RNA (301 nucleotides) under uncultured bacterium. RNAcentral's name for it is "partial 16S ribosomal RNA". It matches the Rfam family "Bacterial small subunit ribosomal RNA", at positions 509 to 807 of the family's 1533-position model. The record is from RNAcentral.